RNAcentral lists this ribosomal RNA (1295 nucleotides) under Escherichia coli. Its description in RNAcentral is "partial 23S ribosomal RNA". It matches the Rfam family "Bacterial large subunit ribosomal RNA", at positions 178 to 1516 of the family's 2925-position model. The record is from RNAcentral. Lineage: Bacteria; Pseudomonadati; Pseudomonadota; Gammaproteobacteria; Enterobacterales; Enterobacteriaceae.
GGCGAACCGGGGGAACUGAAACAUCUAAGUACCCCGAGGAAAAGAAAUCAACCGAGAUUCCCCCAGUAGCGGCGAGCGAACGGGGAGCAGCCCAGAGCCUGAAUCAGUGUGUGUGUUAGUGGAAGCGUCUGGAAAGGCGCGCGAUACAGGGUGACAGCCCCGUACACAAAAAUGCACAUAUUGUGAGCUCGAUGAGUAGGGCGGGACACGUGGUAUCCUGUCUGAAUAUGGGGGGACCAUCCUCCAAGGCUAAAUACUCCUGACUGACCGAUAGUGAACCAGUACCGUGAGGGAAAGGCGAAAAGAACCCCGGCGAGGGGAGUGAAAAAGAACCUGAAACCGUGUACGUACAAGCAGUGGGAGCCUCUUUUAUGGGGUGACUGCGUACCUUUUGUAUAAUGGGUCAGCGACUUAUAUUCUGUAGCAAGGUUAACCGAAUAGGGGAGCCGAAGGGAAACCGAGUCUUAACUGGGCGUUAAGUUGCAGGGUAUAGACCCGAAACCCGGUGAUCUAGCCAUGGGCAGGUUGAAGGUUGGGUAACACUAACUGGAGGACCGAACCGACUAAUGUUGAAAAAUUAGCGGAUGACUUGUGGCUGGGGGUGAAAGGCCAAUCAAACCGGGAGAUAGCUGGUUCUCCCCGAAAGCUAUUUAGGUAGCGCCUCGUGAAUUCAUCUCCGGGGGUAGAGCACUGUUUCGGCAAGGGGGUCAUCCCGACUUACCAACCCGAUGCAAACUGCGAAUACCGGAGAAUGUUAUCACGGGAGACACACGGCGGGUGCUAACGUCCGUCGUGAAGAGGGAAACAACCCAGACCGCCAGCUAAGGUCCCAAAGUCAUGGUUAAGUGGGAAACGAUGUGGGAAGGCCCAGACAGCCAGGAUGUUGGCUUAGAAGCAGCCAUCAUUUAAAGAAAGCGUAAUAGCUCACUGGUCGAGUCGGCCUGCGCGGAAGAUGUAACGGGGCUAAACCAUGCACCGAAGCUGCGGCAGCGACGCUUAUGCGUUGUUGGGUAGGGGAGCGUUCUGUAAGCCUGUGAAGGUGUGCUGUGAGGCAUGCUGGAGGUAUCAGAAGUGCGAAUGCUGACAUAAGUAACGAUAAAGCGGGUGAAAAGCCCGCUCGCCGGAAGACCAAGGGUUCCUGUCCAACGUUAAUCGGGGCAGGGUGAGUCGACCCCUAAGGCGAGGCCGAAAGGCGUAGUCGAUGGGAAACAGGUUAAUAUUCCUGUACUUGGUGUUACUGCGAAGGGGGGACGGAGAAGGCUAUGUUGGCCGGGCGACGGUUGUCCCGGUUUAAG